RNAcentral lists this ribosomal RNA (301 nucleotides) under uncultured bacterium. RNAcentral's name for it is "partial 16S ribosomal RNA". It matches the Rfam family "Bacterial small subunit ribosomal RNA", at positions 509 to 807 of the family's 1533-position model. The record is from RNAcentral.
CAGCAGCCGCGGGAAUACGGAGGGUGCAAGCGUUAAUCGGAAUUACUGGGCGUAGAGCGCACGCAGGCGGUUUGUUAAGUCAGAUGCGAAAUCCCCGAGCUUAACUUGGGAACUGCAUUUGAAACUGGCAAGCUAGAGUCUUGUAGAGGGGGGUAGAAUUCCAGGUGUAGCGGUGAAAUGCGUAGAGAUCUGGAGGAAUACCGGUGGCGAAGGCGGCCCCCUGGACAAAGACUGAUGCUCAGGUGCGAAAGCGUGGGGAGCAAACAGGAUUAGAUACCCGCGUAGUCCCUGUCUCUUAUAC